Molecule: signal recognition particle RNA, 218 nt
Filed under: marine eukaryotic metagenome
Description: Bacterial large signal recognition particle RNA
Rfam family: Bacterial large signal recognition particle RNA
About the family: The signal recognition particle (SRP) is a universally conserved ribonucleoprotein involved in the co-translational targeting of proteins to membranes. Archaeal SRP consists of a 7S RNA and homologues of the eukaryotic SRP19 and SRP54 proteins.
Source: RNAcentral
UGUGCUAGAUGGGGAAUUAGCGGUUCCCUGUAACCUGAAAACCGCUUAUGCAGGGUUGAAUUCCGAUGGGCGGGUUUUGCUGAGAUUGAUUUUUAAUAUAAGUAGUGUUGAUCCUUUUAGCUUUACGCAAUAGUGUAUACUUGAACUCCGUCAGGUCUGGGAAGAAGCAGCGGUAUAGUUUAUUUCUAUGUGCCGUAAAACCCUGAAAGUGAGCUGGC